GACGAACGCUGGCGGCGUGCCUAAUACAUGCAAGUUGAGCGCUGAAGGUUGGUACUUGUACCGACUGGAUGAGCAGCGAACGGGUGAGUAACGCGUGGGGAAUCUGCCUUUGAGCGGGGGACAACAUUUGGAAACGAAUGCUAAUACCGCAUAAAAACUUUAAACACAAGUUUUAAGUUUGAAAGAUGCAAUUGCAUCACUCAAAGAUGAUCCCGCGUUGUAUUAGCUAGUUGGUGAGGUAAAGGCUCACCAAGGCGAUGAUACAUAGCCUACCUGAUAGGGUGAUCGGCAAGAUUGGGAAUGAGACACGGCCCAAAGUCCUACGGGAGGCAGCAGUAGGGAAUCUUCGGCAAUGGACGAAAAUCUGACCGGGCAACGCCGCGUGAGUGAAGAAGGUUUUCGGAUCGUAAAACUCUGUUGGUAGAGAAGAACGUUGGUGAGAGUGGAAAGCUCAUCAAGUGACGGUAACUACCCAGAAAGGGACGGCUAACUACGUG
This 497-nucleotide ribosomal RNA is filed under the name uncultured bacterium. Its description in RNAcentral is "partial 16S ribosomal RNA". It matches the Rfam family "Bacterial small subunit ribosomal RNA", at positions 28 to 507 of the family's 1533-position model. The record is from RNAcentral.